Molecule: ribosomal RNA, 1413 nt
Filed under: metagenome
Description: bacterial LSU rRNA
Rfam family: Bacterial large subunit ribosomal RNA
Source: RNAcentral
CCUUAGGCAAAUCCGGGACCCUUUAUGCCGAGCACCGAGACGAGCCCUAUUGGGCGAAGUGACUGACACCACGCUUCCAGGAAAAGCCACUAAGCUUCAGCUAUAGAAGAACCGUACCGCAAACCGACACUGGUAGGCAGGGUGAGAAUCCCAAGGCGCUUGAGAGAACUCGGGUGAAGGAACUAGGCAAAAUGGCACCGUAACUUCGGGAGAAGGUGCGCCCUUUAGCGUGGUCACAUGCGUGACUGAGCGUUGAAGGGUCGCAGUAACCUGGCCGCUGCGACUGUUUAUCAAAAACACAGCACUCUGCAAACACGAAAGUGGACGUAUAGGGUGUGACGCCUGCCCGGUGCUGGAAGGUUAAUUGAUGGGGUCAGCCGCAAGGCGAAGCUCUUGAUCGAAGCCCCAGUAAACGGCGGCCGUAACAAUAACGGUCCUAAGGUAGCGAAAUUCCUUGUCGGGUAAGUUCCGACCUGCACGAAUGGCGUAACGACAGCGGCGCUGUCUCCACCCGAGACUCAGUGAAAUUGAAUUCGCUGUGAAGAUGCAGCGUUCCCGCGGCAAGACGGAAAGACCCCGUGAACCUUUACUAUAGCUUUACAUUGAACGUUGAGUUCUUCUGUGUAGGAUAGGUGGGAGGCUUUGAAGUGCAGGCGCUAGCUUGCAUGGAGCCAACCUUGAAAUACCACCCUGAAGUGCUUGACGUUCUAACCUCGACCCGUCAUCCGGGUCAGGGACCAUGUAUGGUUGGUAGUUUGACUGGGGCGGUCUCCUCCCAAAGAGUAACGGAGGAGCACGAAGGUACGCUCAGCGCGGUCGGACAUCGCGCACUGUGUGCAAUGGCAUAAGCGUGCUUGACUGCGAGAUCGACGGAUCAAGCAGGUACGAAAGUAGGUCAUAGUGAUCCGGUGGUUCUGUAUGGAAGGGCCAUCGCUCAACGGAUAAAAGGUACUCCGGGGAUAACAGGCUGAUACCGCCCAAGAGUUCAUAUCGACGGCGGUGUUUGGCACCUCGAUGUCGGCUCAUCACAUCCUGGGGCUGUAGCCGGUCCCAAGGGUAUGGCUGUUCGCCAUUUAAAGAGGUACGCGAGCUGGGUUCAGAACGUCGUGAGACAGUUCGGUCCCUAUCUGUCGUGGGCGUUGGAGAUUUGAGGGGGGCUGCUCCUAGUACGAGAGGACCGGAGUGGACGUUCCGCUGGUGUUCGGGUAGUCAUGCCCAUGGCAUUGCCCGGCAGCUAUGAACGGAAGUGAUAACCGCUGAAAGCAUCCAAGCGGGAAGCACGCCCCAAGAUGAGAUCUCCCGAGAGCUUGACUCUCCUUAAGGCACCAUCAAGACCAGGUGGUUGAUAGGUCAGGUGUGGAAGUGCAGCAAUGCAUGGAGCUAACUGAUACUAAUGAGCCGUGAGGCUUGACC